Long non-coding RNA from Tachysurus fulvidraco (yellow catfish), 953 nucleotides. RefSeq lists it as uncharacterized. Lineage: Eukaryota; Metazoa; Chordata; Actinopteri; Siluriformes; Bagridae. The transcript has 3 exons. The record is from RefSeq and is a predicted model, not a curated record.
GUAUGAAGACUUUGGUCUGUUCUAACUUAAUUAGUUGACAAUGGCCAUGUUUGAAGGGAGAGGAGUUUCAGUAGUGCUAUUGAAUGAAAUCCUUUGCAGUUUGUAUGUUUAGGCUGAUUCACUACAGGGGUCUGUCAGUAAACGGCAGGUCAAUGGCAAUGUAAGAAACAGGCCUCAGAGAAUUAGUAGAGAUAGUCAGAGCUAAGGAUGCAUAGGAAGACAGGUCCUCUUUGAAAGGAUAAACCCAAAGUUAAUUCAGGGGGAAUUCAGACCAGUAAUGAAUGAUCCAUGUGCAUGCUUUGGCAGAGCUUUGCUGUGUUUGGAGUGUACUCAUAUUGGCUGUGCUAAGGAGGUGUGAAGUUUAGGCAUGAGUGAGGAGACUGAAUCAGGUGUGCAACAUUCCUCUAACUGUGGCAUGCCUCAAAUCUGCUCAGCCACAGCCCCAAUGCAAAUAUCUGUCUAGCACUAACAGAUUUUAGGGAUGCACCUUCAGUUAGCACUCUAUAUUCCAACAGGAUUUAAAAUCUACUGCUGCAAAAUAUUGACUUGGAUAAAAUAUAGCAGUGGACUAUUGACUGCAAAAAUAACAUUUAAUUCCUACAAGGCCAGCCCUAUAGCCCAUCAAAUGUGAGGGAACAGUCUCAAUUUUUCAUGCUUCUUGGCCACUGGACUAAUUGGUGGUUUUAGGUGGACUUCAAAUACAGCUACAGCUGUUGACUUUGCUGUGGUGAAAAACAAACGGCCGUGUAGUUGAGGACCCAGCUCACACAGAACACACUAAUUUCAUUGUGAGCUCAGGAAGCCUGUGGCAGAGCUGGGAUUGAAAUGUGCAACAUGCCAAACAGAUGUACGGUCUCGCACCGAGGCCCACACGGAUCGUUGCCAAGCUCCUGAGCCACAGAAACAGGUGGAGGGUGCCUACUAAUCUCUUAUUAAAAUGGAGAAGUAUUCUA